GCAGCCAUAGCUCAACUGGAUAGAGCAUCUGACUACGGAUCAGAAGGUUGGGGGUUCGACUCCUCCUGGCUGCACCA
Molecule: transfer RNA, 77 nt
Filed under: Acidobacteriota bacterium
Lineage: Bacteria; Pseudomonadati; Acidobacteriota
Also listed under: 1 other name
Description: tRNA-Arg
Rfam family: tRNA
About the family: Transfer RNA (tRNA) molecules are approximately 80 nucleotides in length. Their secondary structure includes four short double-helical elements and three loops (D, anti-codon, and T loops).
Source: RNAcentral